This 1372-nucleotide ribosomal RNA is filed under the name uncultured bacterium. Its description in RNAcentral is "bacterial SSU rRNA". It matches the Rfam family "Bacterial small subunit ribosomal RNA", at positions 28 to 1381 of the family's 1533-position model. The record is from RNAcentral.
GAUGAACGCUGGCGGCGUGCCUAAUACAUGCAAGUCGAGCGAACGGACGAGAAGCUUGCUUCUCUGAUGUUAGCGGCGGACGGGUGAGUAACACGUGGAUAACCUACCUAUAAGACUGGGAUAACUUCGGGAAACCGGAGCUAAUACCGGAUAAUAUUUUGAACCGCAUGGUUCAAAAGUGAAAGACGGUCUUGCUGUCACUUAUAGAUGGAUCCGCGCUGCAUUAGCUAGUUGGUAAGGUAACGGCUUACCAAGGCAACGAUGCAUAGCCGACCUGAGAGGGUGAUCGGCCACACUGGAGCUGAGACACGGUCCAGACUCCUACGGGAGGCAGCAGUAGGGAAUCUUCCGCAAUGGGCGAAAGCCUGACGGAGCAACGCCGCGUGAGUGAUGGAGGUCUUCGGAUCGUAAAACUCUGUUAUUAGGGAAGAACAUAUGUGUAAGUAACUGUGCACAUCUUGACGGUACCUAAUCAGAAAGCCACGGCUAACUACGUGCCAGCAGCCGCGGUAAUACGUAGGUGGCAAGCGUUAUCCGGAAUUAUUGGGCGUAAAGCGCGCGUAGGCGGUUUUUUAAGUCUGAUGUGAAAGCCCACGGCUCAACCGUGGAGGGUCAUUGGAAACUGGAAAACUUGAGUGCAGAAGAGGAAAGUGGAAUUCCAUGUGUAGCGGUGAAAUGCGCAGAGAUAUGGAGGAACACCAGUGGCGAAGGCGACUUUCUGGUCUGUAACUGACGCUGAUGUGCGAAAGCGUGGGGAUCAAACAGGAUUAGAUACCCUGGUAGUCCACGCCGUAAACGAUGAGUGCUAAGUGUUAGGGGGUUUCCGCCCCUUAGUGCUGCAGCUAACGCAUUAAGCACUCCGCCUGGGGAGUACGACCGCAAGGUUGAAACUCAAAGGAAUUGACGGGGACCCGCACAAGCGGUGGAGCAUGUGGUUUAAUUCGAAGCAACGCGAAGAACCUUACCAAAUCUUGACAUCCUUUGACAACUCUAGAGAUAGAGCUUUCCCCUUCGGGGGACAAAGUGACAGGUGGUGCAUGGUUGUCGUCAGCUCGUGUCGUGAGAUGUUGGGUUAAGUCCCGCAACGAGCGCAACCCUUAAGCUUAGUUGCCAUCAUUAAGUUGGGCACUCUAAGUUGACUGCCGGUGACAAACCGGAGGAAGGUGGGGACGACGUCAAAUCAUCAUGCCCCUUAUGAUUUGGGCUACACACGUGCUACAAUGGACAAUACAAAGGGCAGCGAAACCGUGAGGUCAAGCAAAUCCCAUAAAGUUGUUCUCAGUUCGGAUUGUAGUCUGCAACUCGACUACAUGAAGCUGGAAUCGCUAGUAAUCGUAGAUCAGCAUGCUACGGUGAAUACGUUCCCGGGUCU